GCCACACUGGGACUGAGACACGGCCCAGACUCCUACGGGAGGCAGCAGUGGGGAAUAUUGCACAAUGGGCGAAAGCCUGAUGCAGCGACGCCGCGUGAGGGAUGACGGCCUUCGGGUUGUAAACCUCUUUCAGCAGGGAAGAAGCGAAAGUGACGGUACCUGCAGAAGAAGCGCCGGCUAACUACGUGCCAGCAGCCGCGGUAAUACGUAGGGCGCAAGCGUUGUCCGGAAUUAUUGGGCGUAAAGAGCUCGUAGGCGGUUUGUCACGUCGGGUGUGAAAGCCCGGGGCUUAACCCCGGGUCUGCAUUCGAUACGGGCAGACUAGAGUGUGGUAGGGGAGAUCGGAAUUCCUGGUGUAGCGGUGAAAUGCGCAGAUAUCAGGAGGAACACCGGUGGCGAAGGCGGAUCUCUGGGCCAUUACUGACGCUGAGGAGCGAAAGCGUGGGAGCGAACAGGAUUAGAUACCCUGGUAGUCCACGCCGUAAACGUUGGGAACUAGGUGUUGGCGACAUUCCACGUCGUCGGUGCCGCAGCUAACGCAUUAAGUU
This 548-nucleotide ribosomal RNA is filed under the name Streptomyces sp. Its description in RNAcentral is "bacterial SSU rRNA". It matches the Rfam family "Bacterial small subunit ribosomal RNA", at positions 307 to 866 of the family's 1533-position model. Lineage: Bacteria; Bacillati; Actinomycetota; Actinomycetes; Kitasatosporales; Streptomycetaceae. The record is from RNAcentral.